AACGAACGCUGGCGGCAUGCCUAACACAUGCAAGUCGAACGAGACCUUCGGGUCUAGUGGCGCACGGGUGCGUAACGCGUGGGAACCUGCCCUUAGGUUCGGAAUAACUCCCCGAAAGGGGUGCUAAUACCGGAUAAUGUCUUCGGACCAAAGAUUUAUCGCCUUUGGAUGGGCCCGCGUCGGAUUAGCUAGUUGGUAGGGUAAAAGCCUACCAAGGCGACGAUCCAUAGCUGGUCUGAGAGGAUGAUCAGCCACACUGGGACUGAGACACGGCCCAGACUCCUACGGGAGGCAGCAGUGGGGAAUAUUGGAAAAUGGGCGAAAGCCUGAUCCAGCAAUGCCGCGUGAGUGAUGAAGGCCUUAGGGUUGUAAAGCUCUUUUACCCGGGAUGAUAAUGACAGUACCGGGAGAAUAAGCUCCGGCUAACUACGUG
This 433-nucleotide ribosomal RNA is filed under the name uncultured bacterium. RNAcentral's name for it is "partial 16S ribosomal RNA". It matches the Rfam family "Bacterial small subunit ribosomal RNA", at positions 29 to 507 of the family's 1533-position model. The record is from RNAcentral.